CCGGGGUGGAGUAACGCGUGGGUAACCGUGCCUCAUACAGGGGAGUAACAGUUAGAAAUGGCUGCUAAUACCGCAUAAGCACACAGUGUUGCAUGACACAGUGUGAAAAACUCCGGUGGUAUGAGAUGGACCCGCGUCUGAUUAGCUAGUUGGUGGGGUAACGGCCUACCAAGGCGACGAUCAGUAGCCGACCUGAGAGGGUGACCGGCCACAUUGGGACUGAGACACGGCCCAA
Molecule: ribosomal RNA, 235 nt
Filed under: uncultured bacterium
Lineage: Bacteria
Description: partial 16S ribosomal RNA
Rfam family: Bacterial small subunit ribosomal RNA
Source: RNAcentral